AUGUACAUGACAUUUAUUUUCAUUUCCAUUCCCAAUAUUUCUUAUGAUCAGUUUUUCCUUUCUGCUGUUGAAUUGUUGAAUCCUUCUGUCUUGAAAGGCAAGGAAAACGGUCCAGGCGUGAAGAUAUGGAACUCUGAGUUGCCGGGGCAUCAGAGUUUCCCUCUCAGCCUUUGUGUAACCCAAAGGAGUGUAAACAUGACAUGUGGCACCAGGUUGACUGCAGAAGCUGCUGGAGAGAUGACCUGUGGUCCGUCUAAAUACCUUUGGGGCUCCACAGCUGCUUACAGGCAUUUGGACUUGGUUUAGAGUGGACUUGUACACCAUCCUGAUACCUUUCACCAUAAGGCUUAUAUACCCCUAAAUAAUAUUUUUUUNAAAAAAAAGUCCCUGUCUUUCUUUGUUAACAGUAACACAGAACUCUGAAUGAUAUUUAGCAUUGGCUAAACUGAUGGAUUCAAACCUUUUAACUGAUGCACUCAUUUCCCCCCUAAACUAGCACAUAUAGUUAAACUUUUCUUCCCCGUGCCUAACAAGCUUCUGUCAGAUCACUUCAGGAAAAAAGACAAUGUGUUCAUGAUAAAUAUUGUAAAGGUAUGAAUCAGUACUAAAUUAAAGAGUAAAAAUCUGCCAGGUUCUCACUAUAACUUGGUUGUUAUUGGUAUGAAAAAGACACAGUUGGUUCCUGACUCAUAUAAUAGAGAGCUUAACAUCCUGAGCUGAAAAUCCCAUCUGCACAGCUUGCAAAUGCUAACUUUUCUUAAGUGGGAGGAAUAUUGAAUGGUAGUAUUCAAAACAGCACUGCCACCUGUCAUUUCCUGGAGUUCAAUUUAGUGAACAAAUGGAGAGAACCAAGGUUCUAAAACUGGAGGAAAUGCUGCUUCGCCAUUAAAGAAAAUUUCUGCCAUUGCUUGUUAUCAACUUUUCAAAGCUUUUACACCUUUCUGCCCCAAGCUGCCCUUGUUAGCAUGCAUCAAGCAACACAAACAGCAUCAACCCUGCUUCCCAUUUUUGAGGUUUUCCACUCUGCCUAAAGAACAUGCUGAUUCUGGGUUACGUUGGAGAUAGUUAUUUUAAUGGAGAAUCAUGACUCGGUACUUUAAAACUGCACUCACUGUUAACAUGCCACAAUUUCAGUACUCAAAUAUAUUAUGCUAGCUGUACCUGGCCACGCAUUGCUGUGGCUCAGUCUGGUUAAAUGGAAAAGAAAGAAAAGAGAAAGCGCACGUUUCGAAUAUGUUUAAUUUCACAAUGCUUGUGGGUAUACAAUAUUUUUUGUUGUUCCAUUGUCUGUGCCGAUAUAGAGAUUGUCUGGUUUGCCGACUCUAGAACACGCAACAUAUAAUUGUCCAUGUGAGAAGCAAUCCGUGUCUAGAUCUAAACCGCACAAUUCUAAAGAUUGGCCCUGAGUUGCUUUUACGUCCAGCAGAUGGCGCUGUUUUUCAAAAAAACCCUGUUUUUACCUGUCACAGGUGUGACAUCUAGAUAAUCUAGGUAUAUAAAAAGGAGUCGAAUGCAACCUUGUGUCAUAAUUUGAAAGCACUCGGUGAAGAACUUUCGGAGAUUAGCAAUUUUGAACAAACGAACAUUUACAUUUUUAUUUAUAUAGACUAGCUGUACCCGGCCACGCGUUGCUGUGGCUCAGUCUGGUUAAAUGGAAAAGAAAGAAAAGAGAAAGCGCACGUUUCGAAUAUGUUUAAUUUCACAAUGCUUGUGGGUAUACAAUAUUUUUUGUUGUUCCAUUGUCUGUGCAGAUAGAGAGAUUGUCUGGUUUGCCGACUCUAGAACACGCAACAUAUAAUUGUCCAACACAGCUCAAUUCCAACGCAAUGUCACAUGAAAUAAUUAAAUCAAAAUAAAAGUAAAUCGAAAUCUAUGAAAAUUCA
This 1883-nucleotide long non-coding RNA is filed under the name Salvator merianae (Argentine black and white tegu). Its description in RNAcentral is "lncRNA (ENSSMRG00000014810.1)". The record is from RNAcentral. Lineage: Eukaryota; Metazoa; Chordata; Lepidosauria; Squamata; Teiidae.